GAUGAACGCUGGCGGCGUGCCUAAUACAUGCAAGUCGAGCGAACAGAUAAGGAGCUUGCUCCUUUGACGUUAGCGGCGGACGGGUGAGUAACACGUGGGUAACCUACCUAUAAGACUGGAAUAACUCCGGGAAACCGGGGCUAAUGCCGGAUAACAUUUAGAACCGCAUGGUUCUAAAGUGAAAGAUGGUUUUGCUAUCACUUAUAGAUGGACCCGCGCCGUAUUAGCUAGUUGGUAAGGUAACGGCUUACCAAGGCAACGAUACGUAGCCGACCUGAGAGGGUGAUCGGCCACACUGGAACUGAGACACGGUCCAGACUCCUACGGGAGGCAGCAGUAGGGAAUCUUCCGCAAUGGGCGAAAGCCUGACGGAGCAACGCCGCGUGAGUGAUGAAGGUCUUCGGAUCGUAAAACUCUGUGAUUAGGGAAGAACAAAUGUGUAAGUAACUGUGCACGUCUUGACGGUACCUAAUCAGAAAGCCACGGCUAACUACGUG
This 497-nucleotide ribosomal RNA is filed under the name uncultured bacterium. RNAcentral describes it as "partial 16S ribosomal RNA". It matches the Rfam family "Bacterial small subunit ribosomal RNA", at positions 28 to 507 of the family's 1533-position model. The record is from RNAcentral.